This 496-nucleotide ribosomal RNA is filed under the name uncultured bacterium. Its description in RNAcentral is "partial 16S ribosomal RNA". It matches the Rfam family "Bacterial small subunit ribosomal RNA", at positions 29 to 523 of the family's 1533-position model. The record is from RNAcentral.
AUUGAACGCUGGCGGAAUGCUUUACACAUGCAAGUCGAACGGUAGAGGGGGCAACCCCUCGAGAGUGGCGAACGGGUGAGUAAUAUAUCGGAACGUGCCCAGUCGUGGGGGAUAACGUAGCGAAAGUUACGCUAAUACCGCAUACGAUCUAAGGAUGAAAGCGGGGGAUCGCAAGACAUCGCGCGAGUGGAGCGGCCGUUAUCAGAUUAGCUAGUUGGUGGGGUAAAGGCCUACCAAGGCGACGAGCAGUAGCUGGUCUGAGAGGACGAUCAGCCACACUGGGACUGAGACACGGCCCAGACUCCUACGGGAGGCAGCAGUGGGGAAUUUUGGACAAUGGGCGAAAGCCUGAUCCAGCAAUGCCGCGUGUGUGAAGAAGGCCUUCGGGUUGUAAAGCACUUUUGUCCGGAAAGAAAUGGCUCUGGUUAAUACCUGGGGUCGAUGACGGUACCGGAAGAAUAAGGAUCGGCUAACUACGUGCCAGCCGCCGCGGUAA